RNAcentral lists this ribosomal RNA (468 nucleotides) under uncultured bacterium. RNAcentral describes it as "partial 16S ribosomal RNA". It matches the Rfam family "Bacterial small subunit ribosomal RNA", at positions 28 to 507 of the family's 1533-position model. The record is from RNAcentral.
GACGAACGCUGGCGGCGUGCUUAACACAUGCAAGUCGAACGGAAAGGCCCUGCUUUUGUGGGGUGCUCGAGUGGCGAACGGGUGAGUAACACGUGAGUAACCUGCCCUUGACUUUGGGAUAACUUCAGGAAACUGGGGCUAAUACCGGCUAGGAGCUCCUGCUGCAUGGUGGGGGUUGGAAAGUUUCGGCGGUUGGGGAUGUACUCGCGGCUUAUCAGCUUGUUGGUGGGGUAGUGGAUUACCAAGGCUUUGACGGGUAGCCGGCCUGAGAGGGUGACCGGCCACAUUGGGACUGAGAUACGGCCCAGACUCCUACGGGAGGCAGCAGUGGGGAAUAUUGCACAAUGGGCGGAAGCCUGAUGCAGCAACGCCGCGUGCGGGAUGACGGCCUUCGGGUUGUAAACCGCUUUCGCCUGUGACGAAGCGUGAGUGACGGUAAUGGGUAAAGAAGCACCGGCUAACUACGUG